RNAcentral lists this ribosomal RNA (496 nucleotides) under uncultured bacterium. RNAcentral describes it as "partial 16S ribosomal RNA". It matches the Rfam family "Bacterial small subunit ribosomal RNA", at positions 28 to 506 of the family's 1533-position model. The record is from RNAcentral.
GAUGAACGCUGGCGGCGUGCCUAAUACAUGCAAGUCGAGCGAACAGACGAGGAGCUUGCUCCUUUGACGUUAGCGGCGGACGGGUGAGUAACACGUGGGUAACCUACCUAUAAGACUGGGAUAACUUCGGGAAACCGGAGCUAAUACCGGAUAAUAUUUCGAACCGCAUGGUUCGAUAGUGAAAGAUGGCUUUGCUAUCACUUAUAGAUGGACCUGCGCCGUAUUAGCUAGUUGGUAAGGUAACGGCUUACCAAGGCAACGAUACGUAGCCGACCUGAGAGGGUGAUCGGCCACACUGGAACUGAGACACGGUCCAGACUCCUACGGGAGGCAGCAGUAGGGAAUCUUCCGAAAUGGGCGAAAGCCUGACGGAGCAACGCCGCGUGAGUGAUGAAGGUCUUCGGAUCGUAAAACUCUGUUAUUAGGAAAGAACAAACUUGUAAGUAACUGUGCACGUCUGGACGGUACCUAAUCAGAAAGCCACGGCUAACUACGU